UAUAUGCAAAUGUGUAUACACUACACCGUUUAUGAAAUAUUAGAGAAAUAAAUAUGAAAGAUUGUCUUAACAAUAAAGAAAAGUUUUGGUACAUCAUAAAUUUUUCAUUUUGUAGAAUUAAAAUUUUCAAUUAUAUACAUUACAGAUGCAUACCAAUUAAUAAUAUAAAUGUUAUUUGAAAACAUUUUAUGUGGCUAAGUAAUAAAAAAUAUUAAUUAGAAUUGUAAUAUGGUGCACUUGGUUUAAAAUAAGUAUAAAAGUUUAAUAUGAAAACAAUUAUUUUACAUCGUCCCGGGCCCAAAAAUAUAUUGGACCGGAAUAAAGAGAACCAGAGAGAGAGAGCCACAGAGAGAGAGAGAGAGAUGGCAACUAAGCAAACGAUGAUCAUCGCCUCCCUUCCCUUGGAAGCACCCGGCGACGAUGAGCAGGAACUUCUGGCUAAGCUGCAGCAGCAGCUUGGCAAGAUCCAUGCUGCAAUCUGCAAGCUACGUUCUUCCUCGUAUGCGCACUCGGACUGCUGUUGAGAAGGUCUUUUCUUUUUUUGCUUAUAUGGAUCUUGUUGGACUAUUUAUGCUUGAACUGAUCCCAUUCUCUCUUUUGGAAGGUGACUCUUCCAGAUGUCCUAAGUUUCUCGUCCGACACAUUGUGGAAGCUGACUGAUGGGACGACAAGUCUGCUGCCAAGAGUGGAGGAGUUGCAGAACAAGAUCCUGGCGCAUACUAUCAAAAGGUCCGGCCCUCCCUUGGAAGCUUCCAAGUCUGAACCCCUCCAGAUGGCCGUCUGGUUCAACUGGAAUGCCAAGCUGUACCCGGUCGAUGACCCUAUGGACGCUCAAGAAGUGAUACCCAAGGUUGCCGCAAUCGUAGAUGACAACUUGAAUCAGCUCCAGGCAAAGCUUCGUUCCCUUCGUAUCACGAGGAGCAACAUUCAGGUGCUAGUCGAAAGCA
Molecule: long non-coding RNA, 947 nt
Organism: Triticum aestivum (bread wheat)
Lineage: Eukaryota; Viridiplantae; Streptophyta; Magnoliopsida; Poales; Poaceae
Exons: 3
Source: RefSeq, a predicted model, not a curated record